CGGUUGUUUAAGUUUGGUGUGAAAUCUCCCGGCUCAACUGGGAGGGUGCGCCGAAUACUGAAUGACUUCGAGUGCGGGAGAGGAAAGUGGAAUUCCUGGUGUAGCGGUGAAAUGCGUAGAUAUCAGGAGGAACACCGGUGGUGUAGACGGCUUUCUGGACCGUAACUGACGCUGAGACACGAAAGCGUGGGUAGCAAACAGGAUUAGAUACCCUGGUAGUCCACGCCCUAAACGAUGCAUAUUUGGUGUGGGCAGUUCAUUCUGUCCGUGCCGGAGCUAACGCGUUAAAUAUGCCGCCUGGGGAGUACAGUCGCAAGGCUGAAACUCAAAGGAAUUGACGGGGGCCCGCACAAGCGGUGGAGCAUGUGGUUCAAUUCGACGCAACGCGAAGAACCUUACCUGGGCUCGAACGGCUGGUCAACGGCGGUGGAAACAUCGCUACCCCGCAAGGGGGUCCAGUCGAGGUGCUGCAUGGCUGUCGUCAGCUCGUGUCGUGAGAUGUUGGGUUAAGUCCCGCAACGAGCGCAACCCUUGUCCUGUGUUGCCAUCAUUCAGUUGGGAACUCGCAGGAGACCGCCAGCGAUAAGCUGGAGGAAGGUGGGGAUGACGUCAAGUCCUCAUGGCCUUUAUGUCCAGGGCUACACACGUGCUACAAUGGGCGGUACAAAGCGUCGCUAACCUGCGAAGGGGAGCCAAUCGCAAAAAACCGUUCUCAGUUCGGAUUGCAGGCUGCAACCCGCCUGCAUGAAGCUGGAAUCGCUAGUAAUGGCAGAUCAGCACGCUGCCGUGAAUACGUUCCCGGGCCUUGUACACACCGCCCGUCACAUCACGAAAGUGGAUUGUACUAGAAGUCUGCAGGCUGACCCGCAAGGGAGGCAGCGGCCCAAGGUAUGAUCCAUGAUUGGGGUGAAGUCGUAACAAGGUAACC
This 928-nucleotide ribosomal RNA is filed under the name uncultured Acidobacteriota bacterium. RNAcentral describes it as "bacterial SSU rRNA". It matches the Rfam family "Bacterial small subunit ribosomal RNA", at positions 576 to 1501 of the family's 1533-position model. The record is from RNAcentral. Lineage: Bacteria; Pseudomonadati; Acidobacteriota.